Molecule: ribosomal RNA, 229 nt
Filed under: uncultured bacterium
Lineage: Bacteria
Description: partial 16S ribosomal RNA
Rfam family: Bacterial small subunit ribosomal RNA
Source: RNAcentral
UGUGUAGGCGGAAUCAUUAGCGUCCUGUGAAAUCCCCCGGCUUAACCGGGGAAUUGUGGGGCGAACUGUGAUUCUUGAGGCAAGUAGGGGUGCAUGGAACUCUUGGUGGAGCGGUGGAAUGCGUAGAUAUCAAGAGGAACGCCAGUGGUGAAGACGGUGCACUGGGCUUGUUCUGACGCUGAGACACGAAAGCGUGGGGAGCGAACAGGAUUAGAUACCCUGGUAGUCC